AGAUUAGGUGGGGCAGUGACCUCAGGGGUUCCAGUGUUGUGUAAGGCUCUAAUCUGAAAGGUUCCUCCUAGGAAUACAGGGGGAAGAGGGUCCAAGCCCACCAUUGUGUUGUAUGUUAUGGUAUUCACACUCCUGUCCACACUCCUGUGGAUAGAGAUGGUACAAGUGUAUCUCUGCAGUUUCUCCUGAUUGACCUGAGCUCAGGUGAGAACUAGGUGGCUCCAACAAGGCAUUGCUAGCACACAGCUGCUCUUUUCUGCCUUGCCCAAGUAGGAACUUCACUUCUGCAUAGUUAGUUGACACAUAUUUAAGAUGCUCCUGGAAAAUAAAAAUGGGGACAGUGUUGAAGAGCCAAUACUAAAAUUAAACCUCUUCUGAGAGAAGCGACAGAGAAUUGUGUCAUGUAAUGCUUACCUUUAUGGGCAUGCAAUUAUGCUUAACAAACUUAACUUUUGCUUGAAAAAUCAAUGUCAGGCAGCUGACCUAAUAUCCACAAGUAUCUGAAAAGUUAGGGAAGUAACAAAGAAACACUUUUUCUUAAGAGGAAAGUUGUCGCUUUGCUCUAAAUUCUAGCCGCUAUAGAAUUUGAAUAGCUCUAGUAUAAGGCUCUGAGUUAAUACUUUAGUAAUGAAGUAAAUCCCAUACAUUCCUUUUCAGAAAGCAACUAACAGUUUUUCAGAACGGUCGAAGCCUUACUCUUGUGUAUGUCAGCCCAGGGUGUUGAAAAUCUUUCUGAAGUGUACUGUGUGCCUUUGUUCCUGCUUUAUCUUGUUUUGUUGUGGAUAAAGUUGAGGACUGUCUUCCUUCUGCCCAGGAAUCAGAGUCAGUCCACCCAAGCAUAGUCUCCUCAGCAAGUGAUUAGGUUCCCCUGUGUACCUCAUUGUUUGACCAGAGUACGGUCUUCUCUGUCUAGAGCAGAAGUGCUAGACAUACUUUCUAAGGCUGGUUAAACUGACCGAACCCUAGAAUCCUUCUCAGGCCUAUGACUGCAGAGCUACAUUUGAACCCUCUUUUACCGAAAAGCCCUGUGAUUGCUCUAUGCCCUGGAGUUGAGUCACAUAGUGUUCUAGUGUGGAGCUCUGGAGAACUGUGAGGAACAUGUUAGUCUGGUGUCCGAGAAAUGUUCUGGCUCAGACGGUGGAGUGAGUGCUGCACCCCUUUGACAAGUUGACUAACAGUGAGGGGCAGGUGAGCAUCCCUGUGUUCACAGCAGGAAGAGGUCAAAGAAGGCACUUUGGGGAAGAGACGUGAGCUCACUCUAGGCAUCAGUGUAAGUGCCUCCCCAGUGGACAGGCUCUCCAGCAGGAAACCUCAGGAACUACUUCAUCACUCUUCUGUAGACAUCAGGUCCCAAGGGGAGGUGACCAAGGGGCCUCUGCAGAGAGACACAUGGGAAGGAUAAAAUUCCCACCUAGAAAUUUGAAGGUUAAAACACUGCUUAGCUUCAUUGGGCUGCAAAGUGGGGUUGGGAACUGGUGUCUUUGCCCCAUAAAGAUCCUUCUAGAUCCAGGUUCAGAUGCUAGAUGGGGUAGCAGAAGCUAACAUGAAUUGUUCUAGAAGUUUUUUCUUUUAAUGCAAGGCAUAUUAUGUGAAUUUUCUGAAUAAUAAAUACACAGUUCUACACAGAGAUGUAUGCUUUACAUGACUUGGUGCAGCGCUUUGACAGGGUCUCCUGCUUCUUCCCAACAGCCUGUAAGGAAAGGUGGAGUGGGUAGCCAGUCUUCCUGCAGGUACGGUACAGAAGCCAACAGUAUUAAUAAUGACAGUAGGUGCUAUUUAGUGAAUGUCUCCCAUGGCCAAGAGAGGACAAAAUGUUUUUGUUUCCUGGCUGACUUAAUGUGAGGUGACUGCUCUCAAGUUAGGGACUUACCCAGAGUUAUUAAGUGCUUUGCCACCAUCCUGCUCUCAGAGGAGAGAGCUUCAGAAGAAGCUGAGGGGGCAGUGUUCUUGAGCUGGUAAGAAAAGAUGUGGGAGCCUCUUUACUCCCACACAAGUUUAUAUGAGAUUACAGCUUGGGUUUGAUUUACCUGUGAUAGAUCUAACUGGUUGAUGACAUUAGACAGACUGUCCUGGAAAUAUCUUAAGGUUUCUGUUAGGGAUACAGAAUCCUGGGCCAGACCAUUGUGUUGUGGCAACUGCAAACUGAUGUGGAGCUUUUCAUGAGUCUUGUGUUCCAGCUUCCUUUUCUGCUUCAAGAUUACUGCACUUUUGAUGUUAAUUUAAAAUGCCAUUGAUCCUGCAGAAAAGAGGAAUUUUAUAAAUUCUAAAAUGGAAGACUGUUAGUUCUAAUUCUCACUAAUAUAUUAGAAGAUAGGAAAUCUAAACAUGUGAACUCUUCCUGAUCACACUAGUUGCCCAAAUUCAGUAACCCUCCUGUCUUUGCUCUUUAUGUUGUGGCCAGGAUGUGUGAGGACAGCAAUGUGGCAUUUUAUGACUUUAGGAAACAGGCAACAAGUGUUGGCUGUGAAGCAGGUGUAGGUCCUUGUUGUGACUCACUCUCUUCCUCAGAAGAGGUGGACUUUACAUUCUGUCUUCACAGAGGUCCUCAGAGGUGGCUGUCAUUGGAGUAUGUUGUCCUGGCUGGAGGUCAUAGAGGUCGGGGGGGUCAGUCCAAGAUCAUCUUAUGGAAAGGGUUCUGUCUAUCCUGAUACAGAUAGAAAAAGGCAUCAGGGUCAUCUGAGCUCAAGAUGCAGCUUCGUAUGGCAGGCUAUGCCCCCAAGGGUGCCAAGCUUGGGGUUAGAUGAAAGAGAAGAACAGUAUGCACCUUGCCUCGUUUUUGGUGUCCAUGUGAGUGUCUUCUUAGAAUUCUGUUUUAACCAAAACUGAUUUAACCCAGCCUGACCUCUGGGUGACUCAGUCCCAUGGGUGAGUCUCCUGCCCACCCCCCUACUGUAAACCUCUGUCUGGAAGCUGGGACCUCUGUCUCUGUCAGUAGAAGUUGUACUUUUUAUUCCACUCAGGUGGGCCAUCCUGAGCCCCCUUGGUCUCUAUGGGGAGCAUGUGCUGGUUAUCAGAAUAGGUGGCUGAGUUUGUGGCUAAGUGGCUGGCUGUGGAAGUAGCACAUUUUCGUUCUGCCCUUCUGAGUGCCCAUGCUUGGAGCCCCCUUCUCAAACUGCUCCUAUUCACUCUUGGGGCAAGUGAGUGGAGCUGAACAAAUAGUGACACAGGGAUUCCAUGAACUGGGAAGCAUUUUCUGCCUAAGGAGGACCUACCACUAUUCUGCAUGCUUUGUUUAAAAGUACUUUCUGAAUGAAUUCCAGGUCUUGGGAGGCAAUAUACUUUCAUCUCAAUCACCAGUUGGCCUAUGCUGUUUAUGGAGAAAUAACAGUAAAACUGAAAAGUAGCUCAGCAGUCUCAUUUCUAGCAAGUGCUUAUGGUGCUGGGUGCAGAGGGUGCAGAACUGGAGAUGCCCAGCCACCACCCUGGAGGGACCUGGAGCAGGUGUGGAGUGUGCACAUGGGUGGUCUGGUGUGGGGCAGCCUUACAGGGCCACAAUUCUUAGGUCCAAGUGGGACAGUUCUUUACAUGUUUUAUUCAGAGAUCAGAAUUCUCAGAAGCAUGAAAUGAUUGUCUAGAAUCAUCCUUUUUUCAUCAUUUGUGUUUUCAGAAUGAAAAGUUUUAGUCAGGUUCAGGGGGUCAGUUCUUCGUUCAUCUCUGAUCUGAGGGGAAUGGAGAGUUUGGAGGAAUUGCUGGCAAAUCCUUGAACAGUUUGCCUUCUUAGCAUUGAGAUAGGAAAGGGGCAGUUGUAAGGCUCUGUGAAGGGCCUGGAGUAUGGUUUCAGGUUAGUGAGGUUAGGUUUGCUCUGUGUGGCUUCCAGAGGCUAACCUAGGAUUUGGAAAGCAGGAGCUUCUGGGAGCUAGGUACUUUAGUGCUCAGGGGAGCUCUUGAUUAUCAUCAUAGCUGGCUUGAGAGUCCCAGGCCACCAUGCCAGGUGGAUGUGCAGACACUCCUGGGCCCUCAGACUCCUGGCCUGUGGGUUCCUGGAGGUUCUGUAAUUGUGUAUGGAGCCUGCUAAAAGGAGGCGUCUUGUGAGGUGAUGUGCCACUGCAGGCAGGUGGGGUUAAAAGCUUUCAAAUCCUCCAGGGACUUCAACAGAGAUUUCUGGAUUCAUUCAUUGGAGGCUCUAAAAUGAAGAAUUGUGGUUUACUGAGCACUUACUGUGUGCCAGGUAUGUGUAGUGCUCUUUGCAUCUUCAGCCGUUCUCUGAACUACUCUUUGAAGUAAACUACUCAUUUUAGGGGAGAGCAAAGGUUAAAUGAUCUUCUAGUGUUACAGAGAUGGAUAUGGGGAGCUCUGGGCCCAAACCCAGUGCUGGUUGACACAGAAGCUGGUGGGCUUAGCAGUAGUCUCCCACCUCCCACGUAAGUACUGCCCAUCCUUAAAGUCGAAUGCCAGCGCAUCUUCUGAGGUUAACCUUAAAGGUGAAGUUUUUUUUGUUUGUUUGUUUUUAAAUGGCCACACCUGCAGUAUAUGGCAGUUCCUGGGCCAGGGAUUGAAUCUGAGCCACAGCUGUGACCUGAGCUACAGCUGUGGCAGAUCUGGAUCCUUUUUAACCCAUUGUGCUGGGCCAGGGAUGGAACCUGCGCCUCCACAGUGGCGUGAGCUGUGAGCUGUUGCAGUCAGGUUCUUAACCCACUGUACCACAAUGGAAACUCUGAAGAUGAAGUGUUUUUAAAUAUUGUUUUGUAGGAGUUCCCAUCGUGGCGCAGUGGUUAACGAAUCCGACUAGGAACCAUAAUGUUGCGGGUUCGAUUCCUGCCCUUGCUCAGUGGGUUAAGGAUCCAGCAUUGUCGUGAGCGGUGGUGUAGGUCAUAGACGUGCUUCGGAUCCUGUGUUGCUGUGGCUCUGGCGUAGGCUGGUGGCUACAGCUCCCAUUAGACCCCUAACCUGGGAACCUCCAUAUGCCGCAGAAGCGGCCCUAGAAAAGGCAAAAAG
RNAcentral lists this long non-coding RNA (4935 nucleotides) under Sus scrofa (pig). RNAcentral's name for it is "lncRNA (ENSSSCG00005035410.1)". The record is from RNAcentral. Lineage: Eukaryota; Metazoa; Chordata; Mammalia; Artiodactyla; Suidae.